Molecule: long non-coding RNA, 489 nt
Filed under: Nicotiana tabacum (common tobacco)
Lineage: Eukaryota; Viridiplantae; Streptophyta; Magnoliopsida; Solanales; Solanaceae
Description: long non-coding RNA (NTAB_LNC003478)
Source: RNAcentral
GUGCCUCUUAAGUCCACAGCAUACCUGCUACAAGUUCAGUACUCAGAAGUACAAAGUUAUACAACAGAAAAUAGAGAGCAAGAAGAAGAAAAAAGAAGCCAAAAUUAGUUCAAUGUUGAAAAAGGAAAACAGCAGCAACAACUGGGCAAAGGUGUGCGACACUUGCCGGUCUACUGCAUGCACCGUUUACUGCAGGGCCGAUUCUGCAUAUUUGUGUGCGGGCUGUGACGCCCGCAUACAUGCAGCAAACCUUGUGGCUUCACGUCAUGAGCGCGUUUGGGUUUGCGAGGCGUGUGAACGCGCUCCUGCAGCCUUUCUUUGCAAGGCGGAUGCUGCCUCGCUUUGUGCCUCCUGCGACGCUGAUAUCCAUUCUGCUAACCCCUUGGCACGCCGUCACCACCGUGUCCCAAUUAUGCCCAUUCCAGGUAAUGCCUUUAAUUGAAGUCGAGCACAGAUACAAAGAUUUUCAAAAAACCUUAUAAUCCAUAA